RNAcentral lists this ribosomal RNA (253 nucleotides) under uncultured bacterium. RNAcentral describes it as "partial 16S ribosomal RNA". It matches the Rfam family "Bacterial small subunit ribosomal RNA", at positions 524 to 776 of the family's 1533-position model. The record is from RNAcentral.
UACGAGGGGUGCAAGCGUUAUUCGGAAUAAUUGGGCGUACAGGGUGUGUAGACGGCAUAUUAAGUCAAUUGUUUAAUUCUCCGGCCUAACCGGAGGUCAGCGGUAGAAACUGAUGUGCUUGAGUGUGGAAGAGAGAAGUGGAAUUCUCGGAGUAGCGGUAAAAUGCGUAGAUCUCGAGAGGAACACCGAUGGCGAAAGCAGCUUCUUGGUCCAUUACUGACGUUGAGACACGAAAGCGUGGGGAGCAAACAGG